CGCGCAGGCGGAUGAUGCAAGUCCGGAGUGAAAUCUCGCCGCUCAACGGCGAGGCUGCUUGGGAUACUGUACGUCUGGGGACUGGUAGAGGCUGGUAGAAUUCCCGGUGUAGCGGUGGAAUGCGUAGAUAUCGGGAAGAACACCCGUGGCGAAGGCGGCCAGCUGGGCCAGAUCCGACGCUGAGCGCGAAAGCGUGGGAAGCAAACA
This 207-nucleotide ribosomal RNA is filed under the name uncultured bacterium. Its description in RNAcentral is "partial 16S ribosomal RNA". It matches the Rfam family "Bacterial small subunit ribosomal RNA", at positions 568 to 774 of the family's 1533-position model. The record is from RNAcentral.